GAGUUGAUCUAGAGGUUCAUAAGGAAGAUGUUCACCAUGGCGGAUGGAAGAAACCAACCUUAAAUGGUUGCUGUGAAGAUAAGGAAAGAAUGGAGAAAUGAUUGGCAAACAACUUGACUCAAAGUAAGCAAUUGGCUUAUAUUAGCAUCUACCAUUAUUUUUAGUAAUAGAGGCAUAUAGUUGUAUCACUUAUGACAUGUUUGAUCUUCUUUUACAGAUGAUUAAGAGCCAGCUAUGCUACAGCUCAUGUCUCAAGAGUCCAAGCAGUAUUAAUAGAGUAUGUGGAAGGUGCCUGAAUCUUCUUUCACCAUUUACCCUGCGGUUAUAACCCAUGCUCAAGAACCCAGAAACUCCUCACAUACUGGAGUAGAGGCUAUCGGUAACAACCUAAAUUCUUAAACUCUGAGUUUUUUUUCACUUGUGUUUCUCACAAGAUUUAUGCUAAAGGAGUGUCUGAAUAGUUUUAUAAUUAUGUGCAUUAAUUAGUUUGCAGAUUCUUCCCAUCAAGAAUUAUUUAGGUGCCUACUAUGUGUCAGAGGCUGUUCUAGCUGCUGGAAAUAUGAAGAAAACAGAUUUAAAUUCUUGGCAGUUAUUCCAUUAACCUCUGUGAGAUACAACUAUGAUGGUUAAUUUGACCAUAUCCAAGGGAGCCAAUAGACAAAUAGCAGCAUAAUAGAAUGGGGAAAGAUUAAGAAGUCCAAGAAGCCCAGGUAUGCCGGAAGUAGCAAUGACAUUUCAUGAAUCCCCCCUGUACCCUUGCAGCCUAAAAAAUUGUUCUCUAGCCAGAUGGGGUUAAGGACUACAUUUACAGCUUAAAAUGCUCAAAAUAUCAUCAACUGGUGCUGAUGGGGGAUUUGCUUCAUUAGUUCAUUUUUAUGUAUGAGAGAAACUGUGGUUUAAAAAAAUUCAGUGUUCAUCUUUUUUCAAUUUGAGUCAAAGAGAUUUUUGGCGUUAAAGCUUUUCUAGUUUCAAAUGUUCCAACUCUGGCUGUAUUUAUGUGAUGCCAAACCAACUAGUUGAGAAAUUACAAGUAUGGGAAAUUAGCCAACCCUUUUGUCUCCAAACUGCCAACCAACCAGGUGGCCUGUUUUUUUUUUUUUUUCUUCACUGAAUCGUUCAAUCAUUCAACUGAAUUGACUGACAAUGGUCUGCAAGAGCCAAACAAAGCAUCAAAUCUGUUUUGUACAAUUCAGAGUAUUGAUUCAUUGUCAUCUGGUUGAAUAUUCUCAUUGUAGAAAAGACUGAGAAUGCAGAAAAUAUGAGACAACAAAUAUCACCCAAAGCCCCAUCAUACAUAAAUAUUGAUAUAUAGACCUUUGUAGGAUUUU
RNAcentral lists this long non-coding RNA (1328 nucleotides) under Oryctolagus cuniculus (rabbit). RNAcentral describes it as "lncRNA (ENSOCUG00000036549.1)". Lineage: Eukaryota; Metazoa; Chordata; Mammalia; Lagomorpha; Leporidae. The record is from RNAcentral.